RNAcentral lists this long non-coding RNA (657 nucleotides) under Gallus gallus (chicken). The record is from RNAcentral. Lineage: Eukaryota; Metazoa; Chordata; Aves; Galliformes; Phasianidae.
CCACUUUUAAUACUGCUUCCGGUGACACCGUCAGGAAGAAUCCUGCUAUGUAAUAGACUUUGGCUUUUUCCACCAACUUCCAGUUCUUCUCCAAAUCAAGAUGCUUUUCCUUCUUGUAGCAAUUAGCAGCAGCAAGGUUAGCUACAAGUGACCUGUUAUCACUAGUGAUGCAGGCAGCGCAGGUUCCUGUUGGUUCUUCACUCUGCUCGUAGUAAUGGGCAUCCACAUGAGCUUCCUCAGCCUUCUUCUUUAAUAUUUCUCCAAAUUUAUCCUUGCCAAUGCACCCAAAGAAAGUUGCAGCUUUGUAUGGAUUCUGAAUCAUCCACUGGGCCACUUUGACAGAGUUUUGAGUAGAGCCACCAGCAUGAUAUUCUACUUUGAACUUUUUCACAAGUUCUUCAAAUAGUUCUUUGUGCUUCUCCUCCGCCAGAAUUUGGUCAUUUGGUUUCAGCCCAUACUUGUCAAGGAAGUCCUUGUCCACAACUGCACAUAUAUCAAGCAGAGGAUUUCCCAUUCCAAACAGGACAUUUUCACUGAGGGUCGGCAUGGCUCCCGCCCGGCCGACGCGGAACCCCGCUCUGCCGCGGCGUCGUCGUCUCUUAGUCCGGUGCCCGCCGACAGUUGCAACGCGCUCACCGCCUCGCUCGGCCGUGACUG